UUAGCUAACUGGCAUGGGAGAUGCCGUGAGCACGAAGCUGGCUUUCCCAGGGCCUGAUGCUUAUCCAUGACAGUUUGGCUGUGCUGACCCCAGUGAGUUCCCCAAUUGUGGGAGACUCAGCUGCACGCUUUGUGGUAGGGAACUGUGUGUGCACUUUGCCCUG
Small nuclear RNA from Capra hircus (goat), 163 nucleotides. Its record names the gene U1. It matches the Rfam family "U1 spliceosomal RNA". Rfam says of the family: U1 is a small nuclear RNA (snRNA) component of the spliceosome (involved in pre-mRNA splicing). The record is from Ensembl. Lineage: Eukaryota; Metazoa; Chordata; Mammalia; Artiodactyla; Bovidae.